UACGUAGGGGGCAAGCGUUGUCCGGAAUCAUUGGGCGUAAAGAGCGUGUAGGCGGCCAGAUAAGUCCGCUGUGAAAUCUCGAGGCUCAACUUCGAGCUGUCGGUGGAAACUAUCUGGCUAGAGUCCGGAAGAGGAGAAUGGAAUUCCUGGUGUAGCGGUGAAAUGCGCAGAUAUCAGGAAGAACACCCGUGGCGAAGGCGGUUCUCUGGGAUGGUACUGACGCUGAGACGCGAAAGCGUGGGGAGCGAACAGG
This 253-nucleotide ribosomal RNA is filed under the name uncultured bacterium. RNAcentral describes it as "partial 16S ribosomal RNA". It matches the Rfam family "Bacterial small subunit ribosomal RNA", at positions 524 to 776 of the family's 1533-position model. The record is from RNAcentral.